This 301-nucleotide ribosomal RNA is filed under the name uncultured bacterium. RNAcentral describes it as "partial 16S ribosomal RNA". It matches the Rfam family "Bacterial small subunit ribosomal RNA", at positions 509 to 807 of the family's 1533-position model. The record is from RNAcentral.
CAGUCGCCACGGGAAUACGUAGGGUGCAAGCGUUAAUCGGAAUUACUGGGCGUAAAGCGUGCGCAGGCGGUUAUAUAAGACAGAUGUGAAAUCCCCGGGCUCAACCUGGGAACUGCAUUUGUGACUGUAUAGCUAGAGUACGGCAGAGGGGGAUGGAAUUCCGCGUGUAGCAGUGAAAUGCGUAGAUAUGCGGAGGAACACCGAUGGCGAAGGCAAUCCCCUGGGCCUGCACUGACGCUCAUGCACGAAAGCGUGGGGAGCAAACAGGAUUAGAUACCCCCGUAGUCCCUGUCUCUUAUAC